CGCGGACAUUGGUAUCGUCUUGUAGAGUAGAUAACGCUGGAGUUAAUGUCGGGUACCCCGUAAUUUUAGUCUGAACGGAGAGAGAUUGCAGAUUGCCGAGCAAUUUUUUUUUAACGGAAAUUAUGGUCAGUUUUCCCAUUUUUACGGAAAUAAUGUACAAAUAGCCAAUUCCACACCGCAUCAACUUAUACAGAACUAAGUAUGUCAAUCAUUGAAGGAAAUGGCCAACAUCAAUAUCAUUCGAUUGUUCCGAUAGGGACUCUUGCGAAACUGCAUGUCGUACUACAUGUCACACAGUAGAAUCAAAACUGACUGCUAAUUUCGAUUAGUAAAUGGUUUCCUCGUUGAAUUAGCUGAUUUUAAAAUAAACGAAAAUAAAGUAGUGUUACCAUA
Long non-coding RNA from Daphnia magna, 393 nucleotides. RefSeq lists it as uncharacterized. The transcript has 2 exons. Lineage: Eukaryota; Metazoa; Arthropoda; Branchiopoda; Diplostraca; Daphniidae. The record is from RefSeq and is a predicted model, not a curated record.